This 56-nucleotide transfer RNA is filed under the name Ceratocystis platani. It matches the Rfam family "tRNA", at positions 17 to 71 of the family's 71-position model. From Rfam's summary of the family: Transfer RNA (tRNA) molecules are approximately 80 nucleotides in length. Their secondary structure includes four short double-helical elements and three loops (D, anti-codon, and T loops). Lineage: Eukaryota; Fungi; Ascomycota; Sordariomycetes; Microascales; Ceratocystidaceae. The record is from Rfam by way of RNAcentral.
GGUAGCGCGUUGGGCUCAUAACCCAAAGGUCCGAGGAUCGAAACCUCGAAUCGCUA